RNAcentral lists this ribosomal RNA (490 nucleotides) under uncultured bacterium. Its description in RNAcentral is "partial 16S ribosomal RNA". It matches the Rfam family "Bacterial small subunit ribosomal RNA", at positions 30 to 507 of the family's 1533-position model. The record is from RNAcentral.
AUUGAACGCUGGCGGCAGGCCUAACACAUGCAAGUCGAACGGUAACAGGAAGAAGCUUGCUUCUUUGCUGACGAGUGGCGGACGGGUGAGUAAUGUCUGGGAAACUGCCUGAUGGAGGGGGAUAACUACUGGAAACGGUAGCUAAUACCGCAUAACGUCGCAAGACCAAAGAGGGGGACCUUCGGGCCUCUUGCCAUCGGCUGUGCCCAGAUGGGAUUAGCUAGUAGGUGGGGUAACGGCUCACCUAGGCGACGAUCCCUAGCUGGUCUGAGAGGAUGACCAGCCACACUGGAACUGAGACACGGUCCAGACUCCUACGGGAGGCAGCAGUGGGGAAUAUUGCACAAAGGGCGCAAGCCUGAUGCAGCCAUGCCGCGUGUAUGAAGAAGGCCUUCGGGUUGUAAAGUACUUUCAGCGGGGAGGAAGGGAGUAAAGUUAAUACCUGUGGUCAUUGACGUUACCCGCAGAAGAAGCACCGGCUAACUCCGUG